CAGACAUUUGGUUUAUCUGUGUCAUUGGUC
RNAcentral lists this non-coding RNA (30 nucleotides) under Homo sapiens (human). Lineage: Eukaryota; Metazoa; Chordata; Mammalia; Primates; Hominidae. The record is from RNAcentral.